Molecule: ribosomal RNA, 253 nt
Filed under: uncultured bacterium
Lineage: Bacteria
Description: partial 16S ribosomal RNA
Rfam family: Bacterial small subunit ribosomal RNA
Source: RNAcentral
UACGUGUGAGGCAAGCGUUAUUCGUCUUUAAUGGGUCUAAAGGGUGCGUAGGCGGCGCGGUAAGUCGGGUGUGAAAUCUCGGAGCUUAACUCCGAAACUGCAUUCGAUACUGCCGUGCUUGAGGACUGGAGAGGAGACUGGAAUUUACGGUGUAGCGGUGAAAUGCGUAGAUAUCGUAAGGAAGACCAGUGGCGAAGGCGGGUCUCUGGACAGUUCCUGACACUGAGGCACGAAGGCCAGGGGAGCAAACGGG